GAUGAACGCUGGCGGCGUGCCUAAUACAUGCAAGUCGAGCGAACGGACGAGAAGCUUGCUUCUCUGAUUUUAGCGGCGGACGGGUGAGUAACACGUGGAUAACCUACCUAUAAGACUGGGAUAACUUCGGGAAACCGUAGCUAAUACCGGAUAAUAUUUUGAACCGCAUGGUUCAAAAGUGAAAGACGGUCUUGCUGUCACUUAUAGAUGGAUCCGCGCUGCAUUAGCUAGUUGGUAAGGUAACGGCUUACCAAGGCAACGAUGCAUAGCCGACCUGAGAGGGUGAUCGGCCACACUGGAACUGAGACACGGUCCAGACUCCUACGGGAGGCAGCAGUAGGGAAUCUUCCGCAAUGGGCGAAAGCCUGACGGAGCAACGCCGCGUGAGUGAUGAAGGUCUUCGGAUCGUAAAACUCUGUUAUUAGGGAAGAACAUAUGUGUAAGUAACUGUGCACAUCUUGACGGUACCUAAUCAGAAAGCCACGGCUAACUACGUGCCAGCAGCCGCGGUAAUACGUAGGUGGCAAGCGUUAUCCGGAAUUAUUGGGCGUAAAGCGCGCGUAGGCGGUUUUUUAAGUCUGAUGUGAAAGCCCACGGCUCAACCGUGGAGGGUCAUUGGAAACUGGAAAACUUGAGUGCAGAAGAGGAAAGUGGAAUUCCAUGUGUAGCGGUGAAAUGCGCAGAGAUAUGGAGGAACACCAGUGGCGAAGGCGACUUUCUGGUCUGUAACUGACGCUGAUGUGCGAAAGCGUGGGGAUCAAACAGGAUUAGAUACCCUGGUAGUCCACGCCGUAAACGAUGAGUGCUAAGUGUUAGGGGGUUUCCGCCCCUUAGUGCUGCAGCUAACGCAUUAAGCACUCCGCCUGGGGAGUACGACCGCAAGGUUGAAACUCAAAGGAAUUGACGGGGACCCGCACAAGCGGUGGAGCAUGUGGUUUAAUUCGAAGCAACGCGAAGAACCUUACCAAAUCUUGACAUCCUUUGACAACUCUAGAGAUAGAGCCUUCCCCUUCGGGGGACAAAGUGACAGGUGGUGCAUGGUUGUCGUCAGCUCGUGUCGUGAGAUGUUGGGUUAAGUCCCGCAACGAGCGCAACCCUUAAGCUUAGUUGCCAUCAUUAAGUUGGGCACUCUAAGUUGACUGCCGGUGACAAACCGGAGGAAGGUGGGGAUGACGUCAAAUCAUCAUGCCCCUUAUGAUUUGGGCUACACACGUGCUACAAUGGACAAUACAAAGGGCAGCGAAACCGCGAGGUCAAGCAAAUCCCAUAAAGUUGUUCUCAGUUCGGAUUGUAGUCUGCAACUCGACUACAUGAAGCUGGAAUCGCUAGUAAUCGUAGAUCAGCAUGCUACGGUGAAUACGUUCCCGGGUCU
This 1372-nucleotide ribosomal RNA is filed under the name uncultured bacterium. Its description in RNAcentral is "bacterial SSU rRNA". It matches the Rfam family "Bacterial small subunit ribosomal RNA", at positions 28 to 1381 of the family's 1533-position model. The record is from RNAcentral.